CAAAACCCAAAAAGGAACCAGCAGAUUUUACACCUUGAGGCUUUCUCCCUGGGCUUUGGUAUGAGCAAUGAAGACAGAGUGCUGAAAACAGGAGGGGGGUGUGUUUGUCCAGUGAGUGAGAAGGCACAAUUGCCACUGACACUCCAUAUGCCACCACUAGCCCGAGCCACUGAGCAGGGACUGUCUCUGCAGUCACUGUCUCUAGUGACUACAUUACUUUUUAUAAAGCUUACCCUUAUGUUUGCAGUACUUCCAGACAUAGAACACACAGAUCUCAUCACAGUUAACUUCUUUGUUGUCCUUUGAAGCUUCAGCAGAGGAAUUGUCCUUUUUAUCUAUGGGAAAGAACACAUCAGUCCUUAUUUGCUUCAAGAGAAAGACCCUGCUUGGUACUUCAUCCCGGAAAUAACAAAGAUUUGACUGCAGUAGCCAAGUUAAGCACUUUGAGGAUCUGACUAUCCCCCAUACAGCCCACCACACGAGUCAGGGCUUUGUGACUGACCAAUAAACCCUGACACUGGAAGAAGUCUCAGUGGAGAAGUGCAAGGGCAGUGUCAGGAAGAGUAACACAGGCUGUGGCUGACCAUGGUUCUUGCAAAGCAGCCAACUUUGUCUCCACACCACGGGAAGCAGAGGGUGGAUAAAUGGCUGUGUCAGCUCAGCGGAUCAAUGCAGGGUAGAAAUGUUUUUCCCUGAGUUGGCCAGACCAGCAUGGGGGGAGUUCAGGCCAACACAGAGGUACUAAACCUGAAGAACUAACAGAAGAAUUCUCAAGACAGCAACAGGCUUCAGCUGGCUUCAACCCUUCCCAAGGACUGGGGACACCCAGCUUUGUGACAAUGAGCGUAUUAUACAGACCUGUAAUGGGAGAGCCAUUAGCAUUGUGAUUGAACUGUGCAUUGCAACUGCUACAUUUUGGUACAGAAGGCAAGGAAAGAUAUCUGUCUCCUUCCCAGGAAGGAAGAAUUGUGUCCAGGACAGUACAGACAUCAGUCCCAGGCUACUCCUCGUGGUGGUGCUUGGGCAGAAAUGCCAGCGCUGCUCCGCUGUCCAGCACUGCGGCUCUCAGCGUACCGUAAGAUUUUUCUCACUCCCUUAGACCUUCAUGCACCAAAAUGUGCAGGCCUAGGAAGACUGGAAAAGGAAAUGGGACCUUGCUUCCUAGUCUCUAUCAUUUCUUGGAGAAGAAGCAACAAACUGGGAUUUUGGUCAUUAUACCUCUUAUCCUAGUCAUCCAGCAUGAGUGCCUACACGCACCUGAAGGCAUUUCUAACAGUGAAUCCCAGGGAAGCUCAUCGUUCUGUCAGUAAUGCAACAAACAGUAAGAAAAUCUUAUUAUCCUUGUGGUUUGCUAGUACACUCUGAGAGACACAGCCUUUCUCCUCCAAGCUCUUCAGAUCCGAGCACACAUCUGUUUUAUUGGAGGAAGGAUCCGGUGGGGUACCAGCAGUAGGUACCACCUUUGCCUGCCCCGCCCUUCCCCGGGAGUCCUCCGUAUUCCGGAAGCCGGGAUUGAUGUACAUGGGCGAUCAAGCAGGGCCUCUCACAGAAAAGUCUGUAAGCGAAGCGCCAGUUCCAAUGAAAACAUGCAUUUCUGCAUUAAUCCACUUAGAAAUCUGAACUACUGGUCUGAGGAGCUUUGCUGGAUACUUGGAACAGUAUCAUCAGCACAGAGCAGGAAAGUAAAGCAGAAGGAAGCUGCAAAUGCAGUUGUGGCAAGCAUGUUCUAUUCUCCACUUAAAUACAUUCAAGAAGGGUUUUGGUUCAGGCCUGAGUGAAAACAAAGAAACAUUGGUGGAUUUAUCCUGUUUGUUGGUAUGUUUUGCAAAUAUAAAUGCUCCAAUACUUGACUUCCUUACCUGCUUCAAACAGAACCAGUUUAUGUGAAACAACACAACUGGGUGAGGCAAAAGACAUCACUGCAUGGGACAGGAGUCCCAAAUCGGUGUCAUUUUCAUAGGGCAGUGAGUGAUUCCAGCCUUGAAUAUCAAGGCUUUGUUUAAGUUAGACACCAGUGGAAGAGUAGCUGGAUUGCUGUAACCUUUUGCUACUGUUUAAAAUGCACUCCCUGUACAUUUUUCUCUCUGAUGUCCUCUACUUGCAGCUGCAAUAUCUCCUUGUUUGCCCUGCCUCUGCUAUUCAGCUGACUCCGUAGUAAGUGAAAUCAGCUUUCAGAGACUUGAAACUGAAGUUUUGAUUCGUAUGAGCAAAGUGUGCAUGGAAAUAGGUGUGUUUGAGCACCAGAAGAAACAGCAGAACAAAGGUUAAAAGAAUGGCCUGUGUUGAUAAUCAAAAACACAGCAGUAAAGGCAGUAAAAUCGAGAAACACUUUCUGUCAAACCAGGCAAAUCUGCACACUGGAGCACAGACAACUUGUCAGCAGAAGAGCCUACCAUCUGACAGCUGGACAUGGCAGGAAGAUACAGCACAUCGCAAAUGCCAUUUAUUUCCUAUUGGUCCCACUGGAAGCAAACCAUAAAAUAAGGAAGCACAGAAAAUGGGCAAAUAAGUUCCAUAAGGUGCAUGGAGGUAGAAGUAACUAGACUGUGAAGCACAAGGAUGCCACCACAGUCAGUGCUGGGUCCCACUGGCUUUCGUACCUGAUAGUGGGCAGAAAAGACCCCUCCAAGGUGGCUUGCCACUGGCAGUGAAAAGUAACACAAGAGAUACCAAAAGGGUGGGAUGGUUGGUGCCCAUCUUCCCUUAUGCUGCUUGCAAUAUGGGUCCUGGAAAAACCUGUGGAGCACACACACGCCUCAGGAGCUGUGAGUAUAAGGUUUUGACAGCAUGAACCAAGUUGAAUAUUGAGUUGCUUGACCGCAUUCUGGGAUGAAGAGCCCUGCUCCACUGGCUCACGUGAUCUCUUGGGGUGCUCUCAGACCCUCUGUGGGCUCUGGGGCUCUGCAGGGCUCGGAUUGGGAGGGUGGGGUGGGAGCUGGAAAGUCCCAGAGCUGGAGCCAAGAUGAAGAUCCUGCAGUGAGAACCUGGAGCAGCUUCCCGUGGUGGCGCUGGCAAGAUGCAGAGCUACUGCUGAGAGAGCAGAGCUGGCAGUGCAAUAAAGCUUGUGGGUCUUGAGCUGAAAUCACUGAGGGGCUGGGGUAGGGAUGGUGGCUGGGAUAGGGAUGGUGGUCUUUGGAUAGGGACUGUAGGGCCUGAGCAAGCAGAAUUGCUGAUUUUUAAUGCACAGCCUCAGAAAUGGGAGGGUUUGGAGGUGCAGUGGUGCCUGCAGCUCCUUUGUGCCAAGGCACCAGCAAGCCUUGGUCCUACCCCUGAUUUCCCAGGCCAUGGCAGGGAAGGAAUGUUUUGAGGUAAAAAUGAGGGCCUGGAUUGUGAACAAGUAAGAACAGCCAUGAAGGUAGAACUUUGGGGGGAAUGUGCAACGAAAAAGGAGUAUUUUGGAGGGAAUCUUGAGGGGCAAAAUGAACCUUCUGGCAACAGGGAACAAUCAGAGCCCAUGAGGGUUUGUCAACUGGCUUCCUGUGGCGGUAAGAGAAGGGCUGUCGUGGGGGGAGCAGUUUGUCCCUGGAGAGCACAGUGCUGGGACACGGGUGAGACACAGCAAGCAGCUUUUUUCCUGCGUUGGAUCAGCAGGAG
Long non-coding RNA from Manacus vitellinus (golden-collared manakin), 3594 nucleotides. RefSeq lists it as uncharacterized. The transcript has 6 exons. Lineage: Eukaryota; Metazoa; Chordata; Aves; Passeriformes; Pipridae. The record is from RefSeq and is a predicted model, not a curated record.